AAUUGCUGUAACCGUACAACACAGUGCAUCUUAUAUUAAUGAGGGGAAAAUCCUUUCUUUCUUUCGACACGCCUACACACCAAAUGCUCCUCGACGACCAAGUUUGCGAUUACACUGACUCGCGAUCCACCUUCAAUGCAGCACAUAGUAUAAAAACGAGUAAAAGCUGCUGGGAUCCCACCAUGUGCUGUACAUCUAUAUUCUAUAGAACGGCAGAGAAGGACACAAGAAAAGCGAAGGGUAAUAAAAAGAAGAGGGACAUUUAAACCACCGACGCCUCAAACGCAUCACGUCUUCGACCCAAGAACAAACCGCUGUGAAACAAACAGUUCCAUGGCCCGUAUUUUAGCUUUGCUGUCGCUGAACUGGACAUCAGCAAAGCUGAACGUGUGCAGUAAUGCAACAUGUAUAACUACGGGAAGUUCCAUCAAAGCUUCCUACUUAGAUAUCCACAUCAGGAUCCGCUGCCGCGCUAUAGUGUGUUACUUGAAAAUGACGGCUAGCGCGCCUACAUUUCUGACGUGCCUUGGUAUUGUAACUUAUUCGACCAUUUGCACAUGAAAUAUUUAGCAGUUGUAGCCAGCUGAUAUAUAGCUUUGCCCUUCAACUUAUGUGCACCUCUUAAAGCCCUUGUGUUUGCUUCCUUGCGUAGAUUUAUUCACAUGAUAUGAUCUCCUUUUCUUUCGCUGGAUUCAUCUACGAAGUAAAAUACGACGAAAUAGAGAUGA
Long non-coding RNA from Daphnia carinata, 728 nucleotides. RefSeq lists it as uncharacterized. Lineage: Eukaryota; Metazoa; Arthropoda; Branchiopoda; Diplostraca; Daphniidae. The transcript is spliced from 3 exons. The record is from RefSeq and is a predicted model, not a curated record.